CGGCGGACGGGUGAGUAAUACCUGGGAAGUCUGCCUGGUAGUGGGGGAGUAACGUUCGGAAACGGACGCUAAUACCGCAUACGUCCUACGGGAGAAAGCAGGGGAUCUUCGGACCUUGCGCUAUCAGAUGAGCCCAGGUCGGAUUAGCUAGUAGGUGGGGUAAAGGCUCACCUAGGCAACGAUCCGUAACUGGUCUGAGAGGAUGAUCAGUCACACUGGAACUGAGACACGGUCCAG
This 237-nucleotide ribosomal RNA is filed under the name uncultured bacterium. RNAcentral describes it as "partial 16S ribosomal RNA". It matches the Rfam family "Bacterial small subunit ribosomal RNA", at positions 96 to 334 of the family's 1533-position model. The record is from RNAcentral.